Molecule: ribosomal RNA, 253 nt
Filed under: uncultured bacterium
Lineage: Bacteria
Description: partial 16S ribosomal RNA
Rfam family: Bacterial small subunit ribosomal RNA
Source: RNAcentral
UACGGGGGGGGCAAGCGUUGUUCGGAAUUACUGGGCGUAAAGGGCUCGUAGGCGGCCAACUAAGUCAGACGUGAAAUCCCUCGGCUUAACCGGGGAACUGCAUCUGAUACUGGAUGGCUUGAGUUCGGGAGAGGGAUGCGGAAUUCCAGGUGUAGCAGUGAAAUGCGUAGAUAUUCGAAGGAACACCGAUGGCGUAGGCAGCCAACUGGACAGUAACUGACGCUCAUGCACGAAAGCGUGGGGAUCAAACAGG